UUAAAAAAUCAUCGCAAAUUAUCACAGGAGUGGAUGACUCGACGAUCCGUGCCUUCUCCAUUGAUGAAUCAUCUUUCGGAAGGAACGCAAUUCUCCGCGAGGUGCGUCUCCUCCAUCACUUCAUUGUCGCCAGACGUUGCCAUUGCUGCCUCAGAUGACCGCGGAAGAUUAUCAGUUAUCGAAAACGUGACUGAAUCUCGUGAGGAAGAUGUUACAUUAUCGGAGGUACUCAAUAACUAGACGGGACGUAUCUACUGAAUCUCAACAGAUGGACGACAGAUCUCGGAGGAAUAUAUAUAUGCGUAUGCGCGCCAAAGCCGGGGUGUAACGACUAUCACUAUAGGAAGGAAACUACCGAAGCUUUUCAGUCUUGUCGGGGA
Long non-coding RNA from Fopius arisanus, 380 nucleotides. RefSeq lists it as uncharacterized. The transcript is spliced from 3 exons. The record is from RefSeq and is a predicted model, not a curated record. NCBI's taxonomy places the organism in Eukaryota, Metazoa, Arthropoda, Insecta, Hymenoptera, Braconidae.